AAAUUAAAAAAUUUGGCGGUAUUUUAGUCUUUUCAGAGGAACCUGUUCUAUAAUUGAUAGUCCACGAUUAAUUGUACUUACUUUAGAAAUUUAUAUAUCGUCGUAGUUUGAAUGUUUUAUAAGAAUUAAUAAUGUUCAUGAUUUAUAAUUAUAAAAGAAAUCAGAUCAAGGUGUAGUUUAUAGGUAAGAAGAAAUGGGUUACAAUUAAUUUAUUAAUGAAUAAUUUUAUGAGAUUGAAAUUUGAAAUUGGAUUUGAAAGUAAAUUUAAAUAUUUUUUUAGAUUGAUUUAAGCUCUAAAAUAUGUACAUAUUGCCCGUCACUUUCGUUUUAAAAUGAGAUAAGUCGUAACAAAGUAGAUUUACUGGAAAGUGAAUCUAGAAG
RNAcentral lists this ribosomal RNA (381 nucleotides) under Phlogistus sp. 1 NLG-2013. RNAcentral's name for it is "partial 12S ribosomal RNA". The record is from RNAcentral. Lineage: Eukaryota; Metazoa; Arthropoda; Insecta; Coleoptera; Cleridae.